CAGAAGCCUAUCUUUUAUAUUAAAUGAAUCUAUAGGUGACAGUGAAGCCUUGUAGCAGCUAUAUGGAAGUGUAGUUUAUACUUCCGUUAGCUUUAGUCAAGUUUCAUUUCUUUAUCACAGAUGUUUUUCUUUAUAAGUAUUAAGUAUGCUUUUAAAAAAGAAGUGGUAUUCUUAAAUAGAAAAAUAAGCUUAAAUAACCUGUCAUUAACAUUUGUUGAAAUCUAACCCUCCAGGUGAGGAAAUAAAACAGUUUUUUUAAUCAAAGCCAAUAGAAGAUAAUUAAGGUCACUAAUUUUAAUAUAUAUAAAUUAUUUUUAAUGAACCUAACAGUUUGAGAUGCAUAGAGCUUUUUUUUUUCUUUUUUUUUUUUUUUUUUUUUUUGCCUUUUUCUAGGGCCGCUCCCCAUGGGAACUUCCAUAUGCUGCACAUGCAGCCCUAAGAAGCAACAAAUAAAUAAUUAAAUUAAAUGUCUGCUAAAAAUGAAAAUUGAACAUCUUAAUGAAAAAAUUUGUCUAGAUAAGAAUAAAUAUCUAAAAUGUAAUAUUGAUGACUUAAUCUGCCUGUAUUUUUCCUUAUGCAGAUAUUAAUAGAAUUUAAUAUCACUUACAGUAUAAUAAUAAAGUGAUAGAAUUUUAGGUCUCCUGGAAAGGAUGCUUAUAGAUCCUUCAAACUGGUGAUCGUAUUUUAAGCGCUACAGCACCUGGCUGGUUAGUGGCAAAGCAAGUUUUUUUUUUUUUUUUAAUUAAUUAAUUAAUUUAUUUUAUUUUAUUUAUUUUUUCAGCAUGAGGACCAAGUUACACUUACAUAUAUUCAUUUUUUUUCCUCCCUUUGUUCCGCUGCGAUACAAAGCGAGUUUUAGAAUGCACAUCUCUAAGCCCAGAAUGUAGUUCUCACUCAGUGCUACCUCUGAUUCUGGUGUAUAAUAUCCACUAACCAUUUUAUAUGAUACAAAGUCAAGCUGCAUUACUAAUAUCGAGGAGACUUGGCUCAUUUUUUUCAUGAAUAUUUAUAAAAGACAUUAUUGUGUAUUUAUUAUUGUGACGGUCACAACUCUGGAAAUGGUGUCAGGGAAGAAACAUGAUCUCAUGACAUUUGAGUGGGAAACCUCAAUAUUUACAUACACCUUCCCAGAGCCAAACAAAAUGUGUUCCUAUCAAAAAGCGGUUAGCUAAGAAAUAGUGUUUCCAAAAGAUUACACACAUAUCAGAGGAUUUGGAGUGUAAUAGUAAAGAAAUAAGAUUUAUUUUUUAUUAAGACCUAUGCUCUUGGAGUUCCCGUUGUGGCUCAGCGGAAACCGAUCUAACAUCCAUGAAGACGCAGGUUCGAUCCCUGGCCUUCCUCAGUGGGUUAAGGAUCUGGUGUUGCCGUGAGCUGUGGUGUAGGUCGCAGAUGCAGCUCAGAUCUGGCAUUGCUGUGGCUGUGGUGUAGGGCGGCAGCUAAAGCUCCA
RNAcentral lists this long non-coding RNA (1447 nucleotides) under Sus scrofa (pig). RNAcentral describes it as "lncRNA (ENSSSCG00065069103.1)". The record is from RNAcentral. Lineage: Eukaryota; Metazoa; Chordata; Mammalia; Artiodactyla; Suidae.